Molecule: ribosomal RNA, 495 nt
Filed under: uncultured bacterium
Lineage: Bacteria
Description: partial 16S ribosomal RNA
Rfam family: Bacterial small subunit ribosomal RNA
Source: RNAcentral
GACGAACGCUGGCGGCGUGCCUAAUACAUGCAAGUAGAACGCUGAAGGAGGAGCUUGCUUCUCUGGAUGAGUUGCGAACGGGUGAGUAACGCGUAGGUAACCUGCCUGGUAGCGGGGGAUAACUAUUGGAAACGAUAGCUAAUACCGCAUAAGAGUAGAUGUUGCAUGACAUUUGCUUAAAAGGUGCAAUUGCAUCACUACCAGAUGGACCUGCGUUGUAUUAGCUAGUUGGUGGGGUAACGGCUCACCAAGGCGACGAUACAUAGCCGACCUGAGAGGGUGAUCGGCCACACUGGGACUGAGACACGGCCCAGACUCCUACGGGGGGCAGCAGUAGGGAAUCUUCGGCAAUGGACGGAAGUCUGACCGAGCAACGCCGCGUGAGUGAAGAAGGUUUUCGGAUCGUAAAGCUCUGUUGUAAGAGAAGAACGAGUGUGAGAGUGGAAAGUUCACACUGUGACGGUAUCUUACCAGAAAGAGACGGCUAACUACGUG